AGACGCUUGGCAGAUAAAUGUAACAAAUUUAGGAUUUGUAGAUGUUGAUAACAGUGUUUU
RNAcentral lists this transfer RNA (60 nucleotides) under Cymothoa indica. RNAcentral's name for it is "tRNA-Leu". Lineage: Eukaryota; Metazoa; Arthropoda; Malacostraca; Isopoda; Cymothoidae. The record is from RNAcentral.